This is a long non-coding RNA of Phacochoerus africanus (Common warthog), 623 nucleotides long. RefSeq lists it as uncharacterized. Lineage: Eukaryota; Metazoa; Chordata; Mammalia; Artiodactyla; Suidae. The transcript is spliced from 3 exons. The record is from RefSeq and is a predicted model, not a curated record.
CAGCACCCCUGGGUGAACACCCUGCCCAGGCCAGUAUUUCUGGCCACAUGUCACCUGGUGUCUCCCUGCCUGGAACGCAGGACCAGAAUGAACACGCCCAGACCUGCCUGGCUUUCUUUUCUGUUGAACUUGGGCCUACUUCUCAAGGUGGCGUCACUUUCCUUCGGGAGCAUCCGCCUUUGGUCUGCCCUCCCUGAAAAGUGAAGCAUGGCUUCCACCUGCAUCCACUGAGCUCUGCACCCAUUUGCAACUUGUGUUGAUCCCGGGCACGGCACAGGAGCAGCUGAAUGGUGUCCAUCAGUCUGUGAGUGACCCUGGGAAGAAGCGAAGGUCAGGAGACCCGGAGAUGCCUGCAGGCGUGUGGUGUGGACAUCUGACCAAGGGGCAGCACACAUCUGUCAACUGGUCUGGAGCCAGCGAGCCUCCAUCGAGAAUGUGGUCCUUGUUUCAGACUCUGACACCCACCCCACUCCUGACAAGAAGUGUGUCAAGAGAAGUGAAAUUGUCAACUUCCUGAGAACAAGGGCCAUGCAAGUUCUUUCUCCUGCUGACGUCUCAGCUCCUGGCACAAGGCAUAUUUGUUGAAAGAGUGAAUGAAUGAAUGAAAACAAAUAAAUGAAUGU